GACGAACGCUGGCGGCGUGCUUAACACAUGCAAGUCGAACGGAAAGGCCCUGCUUUUGGGGGGUGCUCGAGUGGCGAACGGGGGAGUAACACGUGAGUAACCUGCCCUUGACGUUGGGAUAACUUCAGGAAACUGGGGCUAAUAACGGAUAGGAGCUCCUGCUGCAUGGUGGGGGUUGGAAAGUUUCGGCGGUUGGGGAUGGAAUCGCGGCUUAUCAGCUUGUUGGUGGGGUAGUGGCUUACCAAGGCUUUGACGGGUAGCCGGCCUGAGCGGGUGACCGGCCACAUUGGGCCUGAGAUACGGCGCAGACUCCUACGGGAGGCAGCAGUGGGGAAUAUUGCACAAUGGGCGGAAGCCUGAUGCAGCAACGCCGCGUGCGGGAUGACGGCCUUCGGGUUGUAAACCGCUUUCGCCUGUGACGAAGCGUGAGUGACGGUAAUGGGUAAAGAAGCACCGGCUAACUACGUG
This 468-nucleotide ribosomal RNA is filed under the name uncultured bacterium. RNAcentral describes it as "partial 16S ribosomal RNA". It matches the Rfam family "Bacterial small subunit ribosomal RNA", at positions 28 to 507 of the family's 1533-position model. The record is from RNAcentral.